RNAcentral lists this ribosomal RNA (482 nucleotides) under uncultured bacterium. RNAcentral describes it as "partial 16S ribosomal RNA". It matches the Rfam family "Bacterial small subunit ribosomal RNA", at positions 30 to 507 of the family's 1533-position model. The record is from RNAcentral.
AUUGAACGCUGGCGGCAUGCUUUACACAUGCAAGUCGAACGGUAACAGGCCGCAAGGUGCUGACGAGUGGCGAACGGGUGAGUAAUUCAUCGGAACGUGCCCAGUCGUGGGGGAUAACUACUCGAAAGAGUAGCUAAUACCGCAUACGAUCUAUGGAUGAAAGCUGGGGACCGUAAGGCCUCGCGCGAUUGGAGCGGCCGAUGUCAGAUUAGGUAGUUGGUGGGGUAAAGGCUCACCAAGCCAACGAUCUGUAGCUGGUCUGAGAGGACGACCAGCCACACUGGGACUGAGACACGGCCCAGACUCCUACGGGAGGCAGCAGUGGGGAAUUUUGGGCAAUGGGCGCAAGCCUGAUCCAGCAAUGCCGCGUGCAGGAAGAAGGCCUUCGGGUUGUAAACUGCUUUUGUACGGAACGAAACGGCUCUGGUUAAUACCCGGGGCUAAUGACGGUACCGUAAGAAUAAGCACCGGCUAACUACGUG